CGUAGGUGGCAAGCGUUAUCCGGAAUUAUUGGGCGUAAAGGGAGCGUAGGCGGCUUGAUAAGUCUGAGGUGAAAGUUCGGGGCUCAACUCCGGAUUGCCUUAGAAACUGUCAGGGCUAGAGUGCAGGAGAGGGCAAUGGAAUUCCAUGUGUAGCGGUAAAAUGCGUAGAUAUAUGGAGGAACACCAGUGGCGAAGGCGGUUGCCUGGCCUGUAACUGACGCUGAGGCUCGAAAGCGUGGGGAGCAAAUAGGAUUAGAUACCCUAGUAGUCCUAGCCGUAAACAAUGGAUACUAGAUGUUGAACAGAUCGACCUGUGCAGUAUUAAAGCUAACGCGUUAAGUAUCCCGCCUGGGAAGUAUACUCGCAAGAGUG
This 372-nucleotide ribosomal RNA is filed under the name uncultured organism. Its description in RNAcentral is "bacterial SSU rRNA". It matches the Rfam family "Bacterial small subunit ribosomal RNA", at positions 526 to 896 of the family's 1533-position model. The record is from RNAcentral.